AACGAACGUUGGCGGCGUGCCUAAUACAUGCAAGUCGAGCGAGAAACGGGUAGCAAUACCCGGAGUACAGCGGCGAAAGGGUGCGUAUGACAUGAAGAACGUACCCCUCCGUUUGGAAUAACCCAGCGAAAGCUGGGCUAAUACCGGAUACGGCCGCGGUGACGCCUGUCACUGCGGUGAAAGUCGCAAGACGCGGAUGGAGCGCUUCAUGGCCUAUCAGCUAGUUGGCGGGGUAACGGCCCACCAAGGCGAUGACGGGUAGCCGGACUGAGAGGUCGACCGGCCACACGGGGACUGAGACACGGCCCCGACAUCUACGGAUGGCAGCAGUAGGGAAUAUUGCGCAAUGGGCGAAAGCCUGACGCAGCGACGCCGCGUGGGGGAUGAAGGCCUUCGGUUGUAAACCCUUUCAUGUGGGACGAACACUGACUUAACCACAGGAAGAAGCACCGGCUAACUCCGUGCCAGCAGCUGCGGUAAGACGGAGAGUGCAAACGUUGUUCGGAUUUACG
Molecule: ribosomal RNA, 512 nt
Filed under: uncultured bacterium
Lineage: Bacteria
Description: bacterial SSU rRNA
Rfam family: Bacterial small subunit ribosomal RNA
Source: RNAcentral